AACGUAGGUGGCAAGCGUUAUCCGGAUUCACUGGGCGUAAAGCGCAUGCAGGUGGCCCAGUAAGUAGGGCAUGAAAACUCCUGGCUUAACUGGGAGAGGCUGUCCUAGACUGCUGAGCUUGAGGAUGGGAGAGGGAAGUGGAAUUGCCGGUGUAGUGGUGAAAUGCGUAGAGAUCGGCAGGAACACCCGUGGCGAAAGCGGCUUCCUGGCCCAUUCCUGACACUCAGAUGCGAAAGCUAGGGGAGCGAACGGG
RNAcentral lists this ribosomal RNA (253 nucleotides) under uncultured bacterium. Its description in RNAcentral is "partial 16S ribosomal RNA". It matches the Rfam family "Bacterial small subunit ribosomal RNA", at positions 524 to 776 of the family's 1533-position model. The record is from RNAcentral.